RNAcentral lists this ribosomal RNA (468 nucleotides) under uncultured bacterium. Its description in RNAcentral is "partial 16S ribosomal RNA". It matches the Rfam family "Bacterial small subunit ribosomal RNA", at positions 28 to 507 of the family's 1533-position model. The record is from RNAcentral.
GACGAACGCUGGCGGCGUGCUUAACACAUGCAAGUCGAACGGAAAGGCCCUGCUUUUGUGGGGUGCUCGAGUGGCGAACGGGUGAGUAACACGUGAGUAACCUGCCCUUGACUUUGGGAUAACUUCAGGAAACUGGGGCUAAUACCGGAUAGGAGCUCCUGCUGCAUGGUGGGGGUUGGAAAGUUUCGGCGGUUGGGGAUGGACUCGCGGCUUAUCAGCUUGUUGGUGGGGUAGUGGCUUACCGAGGCUUUGACGGGUAGCCGGCCUGAGAGGGUGACCGGCCACAUUGGGACUGAGAUACGGCCCAGACUCCUACGGGAGGCAGCAGUGGGGAAUAUUGCACAAUGGGCGGAAGCCUGAUGCAGCAACGCCGCGUGCGGGAUGACGGCCUUCGGGUUGUAAACCGCUUCCGCCUGUGACGAAGCGUGAGUGACGGUAAUGGGUAAAGAAGCACCGGCUAACUACGUG